This 613-nucleotide ribosomal RNA is filed under the name Klebsiella sp. HPC793. RNAcentral's name for it is "bacterial SSU rRNA". It matches the Rfam family "Bacterial small subunit ribosomal RNA", at positions 827 to 1440 of the family's 1533-position model. The record is from RNAcentral. Lineage: Bacteria; Pseudomonadati; Pseudomonadota; Gammaproteobacteria; Enterobacterales; Enterobacteriaceae.
UGCCCUGAGGCGUGGCUUCCGGAGCUAACGCGUUAAAUCGACCGCCUGGGAGUACGGCCGCAAGGUUUAAAACUCAAAUGAAUUGACGGGGGCCCGCACAAGCGGUGGAGCAUGUGGUUUAAUUCGAUGCAACGCGAAGAACCUUACCUGGUCUUGACAUCCACAGAACUUUCCAGAGAUGGAUUGGUGCCUUCGGGAACUGUGAGACAGGUGCUGCAUGGCUGUCGUCAGCUCGUGUUGUGAAAUGUUGGGUUAAGUCCCGCAACGAGCGCAACCCUUAUCCUUUGUUGCCAGCGGUUCGGCCGGGAACUCAAAGGAGACUGCCAGUGAUAAACUGGAGGAAGGUGGGGAUGACGUCAAGUCAUCAUGGCCCUUACGACCAGGGCUACACACGUGCUACAAUGGCAUAUACAAAGAGAAGCGACCUCGCGAGAGCAAGCGGACCUCAUAAAGUAUGUCGUAGUCCGGAUUGGAGUCUGCAACUCGACUCCAUGAAGUCGGAAUCGCUAGUAAUCGUAGAUCAGAAUGCUACGGUGAAUACGUUCCCGGGCCUUGUACACACCGCCCGUCACACCAUGGGAUGUGGGUUGCAAAAGAAGUCCGUAGAGUAUCC